RNAcentral lists this ribosomal RNA (458 nucleotides) under uncultured bacterium. RNAcentral's name for it is "bacterial SSU rRNA". It matches the Rfam family "Bacterial small subunit ribosomal RNA", at positions 30 to 473 of the family's 1533-position model. The record is from RNAcentral.
UGAACGCUAGCGGCAGGCUUAAUACGUGCAAGUCGUGGGGCAGCAGGUCCAUAGCAAUAUGGAUAGCUGGCGACCGGCAAACGGGUGCGGAACACGUACAGAACCUUCCUUCGAGCGGGGAAUAGCCCAGAGAAAUUUGGAUUAAUACCCCAUAGUAUACUGAAGAGGCAUCUCUUUAGUAUUAAAGAUUUAUCACUUGAAGAUGGCUGUGCGGCUGAUUAGGUAGUUGGCGGGGUAAAGGCCCACCAAGCCUGCGAUCAGUAACUGGUGUGAGAGCACGACCAGUCACACGGGCACUGAGACACGGGCCCGACUCCUACGGGAGGCAGCAGUAAGGAUAUGGUCAAUGGACGAAAGUCUGAACCAGCCAUGCCGCGUGAACGGAUGAAGGUCCUCUGGAUUGUAAAGCACUUUAAGUUGGGAGGAAGGGUUGUAGAUUAAUACUCUGCAAUUUUGAC